Equus caballus (horse) is the source of this 1573-nucleotide long non-coding RNA. The record is from Ensembl. Lineage: Eukaryota; Metazoa; Chordata; Mammalia; Perissodactyla; Equidae.
CUUGCAUCUAAAUAGGACAAUGAGAGCGAAUUGUGGUCAAUGGAGUACGGGAAAAGUGAUGUACAGCACCUCCAAGUCUCAUCAUAGGAUGUUCCAUGUGAUCGUCCACCCUCUCAUGUGCCUCAUCAUUUACUAGUCAGGACUGAAAGUACUAAAAGACCAAAUCCAGCCUGUACCUCAUUUCUACUCAUCAAGGUCAAUUCUCAUUCUCCACGCUUCUCUUCACAGUGCCCUUCCUCCACGUGGAAUACUUUUUCAUGUCUGAGCACUCUGAAGGAUACCCAUCCUGAAAGGCCCUGCAUUGGGACCUACUCAUUGAUCACUACCUUCUUUGAAGAAAAAGUGAAGGCUGUACGGAUAAAGAAGAAGGAAAAUGAAGCAACAGCAGAGGAAACCAGGACCUGAUGGGAAAUGAGGAGUUAGGUCUUUUCUUGAAGUAAGAUUUUAGGAAGAUCCAUGUGAUGCAAAAUAGAUGACAUCAAUGCAGCUUUGGAUGAAAUUGAGAGAAGGACCCAUCCGCUCCAAGGUUCCAGUGUUCCUUGGCAACCACCAGAAAUGACUUCACAGAAGCCUAAACCCAGGGCCAAUUGAUCUUCAAAGACCCCUUACACUCUGUUCUUGGUUGUUCCAGCUUCAUCCUGGUCUGAAUCUCCGUCCUAUGAAUUGCCUUUCUGGGUUUCCUUCCUCAAGAGAAAAAUGGGGUUACUAAUGCCAACAGGAAGAAAUGAUAAGAAAACUAAACAUGGAGGUAGAAGAAUUGUUCCAACCCUGAGACUGCCAUUUAAUGAGUGUGUGAACUGGAGAAAGUCACUUACUAUCUCUCAGUCUGAAUUUACUCAUCCUACGACAUGAACUUGGCAAGGUACUAGUGAAAACUAGACUCCCAAGUCCAGCACUAGAAUUAGAAAAUCAGAAGGAGGAUGUGUGGGACAGGAGUUGAGGGACACAAAGAGUAAGAAUCCACCAGACACUUAUUAUCGUAUAUUCUGCUGUGCUUAAGUGCUCUACAAACAACAUGUGACAACAGUGAAGAAAGUUUACCUGUGAACAUCAUUUUGAGGAUCUUAUGUUGAACCGAAAUAUGGUUGAAAAACCAGCCUUCAAGAAGACAACUGAAAACAAGGGUGACUCAAGAGACAGUUGGUUUAGUCUUCAAAGGUAAAUAUGGAAGAUGCUCAUGAUUUUGGAAGCUGAGCAGUUUAGCAAGCUACAAUGGUUGGAUGGGGAAGGGGGCAGGCUGCCAGAAAUAUCAUGGUCUUCCAGCAGCAAUAAAGUGUUUGAAACACAAAUUUUACUUUAAAGUGAAAUGUUUUGUUGUAGGAGAUGUCAAGAAUUGUCAAAGUGGGCAAGGUUCAAAUCUAACACAGUGGCAAUUUAGUUUUUAUUUAGUUAGAGAAAAAAUAAGUAAAGACUUCUUUAAAAAGUUGGCACAAGGAGGAGUAAAUGAAGUUUUACUCCCUAGUUUCUAAAAGAAAAGGCUUAGUCUCAAAACCACGUUAUCUACUUGCCCUCUGGAGCUUUGCUGUUCUAUAGAGUGGCAAUCUGGCCCACUGUGUGUCGCCAUCUUUCAGCU